ACUCAAAUGAAUUGACGGGGACUCGCACAAGCAGUGGAGCAUGUGGUUUAAUCCGAUACAACGCGUAGAACCUUACCAAGGCUUGACAUGUUGGGCAAAGCUAGGGAAACCUAGCGGAGGUUAUCCUAACACAGGUGCUGCAUGGCCGUCGUCAGUUCGUGCCGUGAGGUGUAUGGUUAAGUCCUAUAACGAACGCAACCCUUGUACUUAGUUGCCAGCAUUUAGUUGGGGACUCUAAGUAGACUGCCAAGGUAACUUGGAGGAAGGAAAGGAUGACGCCUGGUCGUCAUGGCCCUUAUGCCUUGGGCGACACACGUGCUACGGUGGUUAGGACAAAGGGUCGCCAACCCGCGAGGGGGAGCUAAUCCCAAAAAACUAACCGUUUCGAAUUGAAGGUUGCAACUCACCUCCAUGAAGAAGGAAUUGCUAGUAAUCGCAAAUCAGCCACGUUGCGGUGAAUACGUUCUCGAGUCCUGUACACACCGCCCGU
Molecule: ribosomal RNA, 490 nt
Filed under: uncultured bacterium
Lineage: Bacteria
Description: partial 16S ribosomal RNA
Rfam family: Bacterial small subunit ribosomal RNA
Source: RNAcentral